GUUCCACACAUAUUACACAAAGAUUCGCCCCAACCUUCUCAAGCCUGGCAAGUACAAUCUCAGCAGCGACGACGACGCGUACUUCUUCCUUUCGAGUACGGGGACCAAGCUAUUCAAUGCCUCAAACGAUCUCGCAAGACUGCACAAGAAAUUUAAUAUGCCAAUCGUCACCUGCAAUGAAGUAAGAAAAUCUUUAGAAACUGCAUCAUCAGCAACACUAGGAGACAUCGACCGCCGCCACAUUGCCGACUACCUCGCACACACGAUCGACGUUGCCAACCGCCACUAUGUCAUCAAGGAAACCGCCAAUGUGGCAAAAGCUGCUCAACUGAUUGGACGCCUGGUACACCCUGCAGCUACUCGUAUGAAACCAGCCAGCGAUGAUACAACGGGAAGUGAGAGCGCGACAGGCACAGCCAGUACUGCCAGUGUGGCCCAGUCAGCUGUGUGUCGCUACAAUCGCCCUUGAUGAGGAUCCACCUACACUAAAGACCUGCAAGGACAUCGACCAGCAAGAUGGACAACGACUCUACAAUCGAUGGAUGUACGAACGAACGAAGUUGCGAGGCAAAGAA
Molecule: long non-coding RNA, 575 nt
Organism: Priapulus caudatus
Lineage: Eukaryota; Metazoa; Priapulida; Priapulimorpha; Priapulimorphida; Priapulidae
Exons: 3
Source: RefSeq, a predicted model, not a curated record